AGGAAGAUAAUACCGCNUAAGAUUGUAGUAUCGCAUGAUAUAGCAAUUAAAGGAAGCAAUUCGCUAUAAGAUGGACCCGCGUCGCAUUAGCUAGUUGGUGAGGUAAUGGCUCACCAAGGCGACGAUGCGUAGCCGACCUGAGAGGGUGAUCGGCCACAUUGGGACUGAGACACGGCCCAGACUCCUACGGGAGGCAGCAUG
RNAcentral lists this ribosomal RNA (201 nucleotides) under uncultured bacterium. RNAcentral's name for it is "partial 16S ribosomal RNA". It matches the Rfam family "Bacterial small subunit ribosomal RNA", at positions 157 to 353 of the family's 1533-position model. The record is from RNAcentral.